UACGGGGGGAGCAAGCGUUGUUCGGAUUUACUGGGCGUAAAGGGCGCGUAGGCGGCCACCGCAAGUCGACUGUGAAAUCUCCGGGCUUAACCCGGAAAGGUCAGCCGAUACUGCGGGGCUAGAGUGCAGAAGGGGCAACUGGAAUUCUCGGUGUAGCGGUGAAAUGCGUAGAUAUCGUAAGGAAGGCCAGUGGCGAAGGCGAGUCUCUGGACAGUUACUGACGCUGAGGCACGAAGGCUAGGGGAGCAAACGGG
RNAcentral lists this ribosomal RNA (254 nucleotides) under uncultured bacterium. RNAcentral describes it as "partial 16S ribosomal RNA". It matches the Rfam family "Bacterial small subunit ribosomal RNA", at positions 524 to 776 of the family's 1533-position model. The record is from RNAcentral.